CAACCUUCCUAGCGACCAGCGUCUCCCCUGCGGAUCGGGCUCUGUAUCCCAGCCACAGUGCCUCUCCAUGGGCUGCUGCUUCAACAAGCACCCCCCUGCCUGCUACUACCCCAUGGACGAGUGCACUAUUGACCGCCACUUUGUCUUCUCUGUGCCCGCCGCCCUCACCGAGCCCCCUCUUUCCCCCACCAUGCUCGUCGCUGCCAGCAACUCUACCUGCAAACCUGAGAGAGUCACUUCUAACUACGCGUUGUUCAAGAUCCCGAUGGACGGCUGCGGGACGCGCAGAGUGGUGGUGGGGAAAACUGUAGUCUAUAUGGUGGAGGUCAUCAACAAGGUUCAAACAAUCAGCCUCAACUAUGGCACCAUCACAAGAGACUCUCCUGUCAGGUUGUUGGUUGAGUGCAGAUUCAUGCCAGGAGCGCUACUGACAGUGAGCUAUGUGGUCAAAAGUCCCUCUCUUGGUCCUGAAAUUCACACGCAGGGGUGUUUGGUGUCCAGCUCAGGAUUUCCAAAGGUAAAUUGCCCUCAUUUCAACACCAACAACUGCUUUUCAACAUCUAAAAAAAUAAUAAUCUCGUGUUUCUUGUUGUGAUGGAAGGAAGAUGAAAUGUAAAAAAUCUUUGUUACAGUAAAAUCCAUAAUUUCAGCUCUUGGAGAACUUGUACUUGGUUUUAAGUGUUUAAAAACUGGCUCAAGAUAAAAUCUCUUUCUACUUUACGCCCAUCUCAUAUGAGAUGCCCAUUACAGCAGCUACUACCCACAGUAUCACCAGCCCAUGCAGAUGUUGCUGGGGAAACCUCUCUAUCUGGAAGUACGGCUCCUCAACUCUCCAGAUCCCAGUUUAGUGCUGCUGGUGCACUACUGCGUGGCCUACCCCCGCUCAGGAAAAGCUGUGUGGGUGCUGCUUUACAACGGAUGUCCCAAUCCUUAUGACCCAGCCCAGCUGCAGGCCGUGUCUAGCCAGCACCCAACUUCUCCCCAGAGCCAGACCCGCCGCUUCACCAUCAGAACCUUCCAGUUCCUUCCCGAUGGUGAGUUCAAGGACCCAGAUGAAGAGAUCUACUUCAUGUGUUCAACUGAAAUCUGCUCGCCACGUGACGGGCCUUGUGUCGAGGGAUGCUUUGGCCAGUGACGUUACGACAUGGAAGACGCUAGAAGUUCGUCAGGAUGAUGUUGUGGUCUCAGAGACAUCACUCGUUUAACUGCCAAUAAAAGCUCUUAAAUAACA
RNA transcript from Acanthochromis polyacanthus (spiny chromis), 1231 nucleotides. It is a transcript of the gene named zona pellucida sperm-binding protein 4-like, with no coding region annotated. The transcript has 8 exons. The record is from RefSeq and is a predicted model, not a curated record. Lineage: Eukaryota; Metazoa; Chordata; Actinopteri; Pomacentridae.